This 648-nucleotide ribosomal RNA is filed under the name Sphaeriestes castaneus. RNAcentral describes it as "eukaryotic LSU rRNA". It matches the Rfam family "Eukaryotic large subunit ribosomal RNA", at positions 663 to 1265 of the family's 3401-position model. The record is from RNAcentral. Lineage: Eukaryota; Metazoa; Arthropoda; Insecta; Coleoptera; Salpingidae.
GGACCAAGGAGUCUAGCAUGUGCGCGAGUCAUUGGGAUAAUACUAAACCUAAAGGCGAAAUGAAAGUGAAGGUCCGCCUUGUGCGGACCUGGGGAAGAUGGGCGACCGUUUCGGCUGUCGCUCCGCACUCCCGGGGCGUCUCGUUCUCAUUGCGAGAAGAGGCGCACCAAGAGCGUACAUGCUGGGACCCGAAAGAUGGUGAACUAUGCCUGGUCAGGACGAAGUCAGGGGAAACCCUGAUGGAGGUCCGUAGCGAUUCUGACGUGCAAAUCGAUCGUAAGAACUGGGUAUAGGGGCGAAAGACUAAUCGAACCAUCUAGUAGCUGGUUCCCUCCGAAGUUUCCCUCAGGAUAGCUGGCGCUCAUAGAUAAGAGUUUCAUCCGGUAAAGCGAAUGAUUAGAGGCAUUGGGGUCGAAACGGCCUCAACCUAUUCUCAAACUUUAAAUGGGUGAGAUCUCCGGCUUACUUGAACAAAUGUUGAAGCCGCGAGACUCGAAUCAGAGUGCCAAGUGGGCCAUUUUUGGUAAGCAGAACUGGCGCUGUGGGAUGAACCAAAAGCCGAGUUAAAGCGCCUAAAUCGACGCUUAUGGGAUACCAUGAAAGGCGUUGGUAACUUAAGACAUCAGGACGGUGGCCAUGGAAGUUGGA